UCCUUCAAAGAUUAGCAUAGUAGCCUUCAUUCUACAAUUAUGCCUAGGCCCACAUCUUUCAUCACAAUAAAAACAAAUGCCCUUUUCUCUAUGAUCUUGAAUCUCACUUGUAGAUGGACUCUUCACAGGAAUAGCAACAUAAUUUGUAGGUUUAGACUUUGAAAUGAUUGAACUAGAAUUCUCAUCUUGAUUCUUUCAAGAAAACUCCUACGAGUAAUCUUUUUUUCUUGAGCUCUAGCCAUGUUCAUAGCCUCAAACAAUCUCUGAGGUAUUGAACAACAAUUCCUCCUUGAUUUUUGGUUUUCACCCUGCUAUAUACAAGGUUACCAAAGUAUCCUCAUCAAAAUCAAAAAUAGAUGACAUCAAUUUCUCAAAUCGAGCAUUAUAAUUAGCAACUAAAAAGCUCUAAGAUAAUCUUGCUAAUGCCACCUUUGGAUUGUCAAAUGAAGUUGGACCAAAAUGAUUCUUGAUUCCUUGCUCAAAAUCGUACCAAGAACCAACCAAAUGGGCACCAAAAAUCCAUUGAUACCAAUAAGAGGCAGGCCCUUGA
RNAcentral lists this long non-coding RNA (550 nucleotides) under Elaeis guineensis (African oil palm). RNAcentral describes it as "long non-coding RNA (EGUI_LNC079217)". The record is from RNAcentral. Lineage: Eukaryota; Viridiplantae; Streptophyta; Magnoliopsida; Arecales; Arecaceae.